AACAAAGUACCAGGGAAAUACGUGAACUGCCUUCAUUUUGUUAUUUUGACGAAUACAAAAGAAUAAAGACAUCCGAGACAGAUGUAAAAUGUUUAACAAACAGUUUUGUCGGCAGCAAGUCUGUAGAAAACGACACUAAACGUCACCAUCGCUCUAUCAACAAUUGCGUUGUUACAAAGAAUAGUCCCCCUUUAAUGUAGUGUUAGCUAUUUCCGAUCUGACUUCAUGGUAUCGUAUGUAUGUCAGUAUUUUAUGCGCAUAAUUAAUUUUAUUACACACAGUAAUUAU
RNAcentral lists this long non-coding RNA (288 nucleotides) under Mytilus galloprovincialis (Mediterranean mussel). Lineage: Eukaryota; Metazoa; Mollusca; Bivalvia; Mytilida; Mytilidae. The record is from RNAcentral.